This 325-nucleotide ribosomal RNA is filed under the name uncultured eukaryote. Its description in RNAcentral is "partial 18S ribosomal RNA". It matches the Rfam family "Eukaryotic small subunit ribosomal RNA", at positions 1470 to 1796 of the family's 1831-position model. The record is from RNAcentral.
CCCUUAGAUGUCCUGGGCCGCACGCGCGCUACACUGAUGCAUGCAACGAGUUUAUAACCUUGGCCUGAAAGGUCUGGGUAAUCUUUUGAACGUGCAUCGUGAUAGGGAUAGAUUAUUGCAAUUGUUAAUCUUGAACGAGGAAUUCCUAGUAAACGCGAGUCAUCAGCUCGCAUUGAUUACGUCCCUGCCCUUUGUACACACCGCCCGUCGCUCCUACCGAUUGAAUGUUCCGGUGAGCUCUUCGGACUGCGCGGUCUGCAGUUUCUGCGUUCCGUGCGGAAAGUUGCGCAAACCUUAACAUUUAGAGGAAGGAGAAGUCGUAACA